GCUGGAGAGAGAGCGCGCUCAAAAGCAAACCUGAACCUGACCCUGCUCCCCGUUUUUAAGAGGAACCGAGAAAAAGAGACUGGAGGAGAGCUUUUGUUCACUUGCUUGAUUUCUGUGGGUUUUUUUUUCCUUCUUCCCCGUGUCAGGCGGUUUUUCCAUUUGCCUCCUCUCCAAUGAGGCGGGGGCAGCCUCCCCUGUGAAAAUAAACUCUCAAAGCAGACCGGCCUAGGGAGCAAGCGCCUGCUGGGGGUAUGGGCAUCCCUGGAUAGAAGAUGAUUUCUCCUGACUGGGGCCUUCCUCUCCUGCAUGUGGCUACCCGCCCCACCCCCUCCUGCUGCCUCUUAUAGACCCGAGCGAGCCUUGGCGUCUACUUUUGUACUGGGCUCAGAGGUGAAAACAGGCUGGCUUCGGGCACACUGGGAAGCCAUGACGUGUGGGCAGCAGGAGAUAAGAGGAGACAUCUGGAAGGGAUGAGGGUUUCUUUGUGUAGGCUUGGCGGUCCUCACCGAGCCUCUUCCUGCCAAGUGCUGAGAUUACAGGCCUGAGCCACCACAGCAGUGACCGAAACACUUCACAGGAACAACCUAAGGGAGGAGGGUGCUCUUUGGCUCACAGCCCCUGUGCGUUUCGGCUCCUCAGGGCAGGGAAGGCACGCAGCAGGGACAUCCCUGGUGGCAAGAGUGUGAAGUAGCAGGUCCAGAGCGAGGAAUGUCCAGAAAGAGGGGCGGGGCUGUUGAUUUCCCAAAGCCUACCCCUGGGGACCCAGCUCUCAAGGUAGGCUCCACCCCCUAAAUGGUCCCCAGCUUUCAAAAUGGUCUCAAGGCUGUGGAGCAGACACGGAGAACACAGGUCUGUGGGGGCAUUCCAGGUUCAAACUCACGCGAUAUCCAGCACUCACAUGAUGUGUGAGUUCACACAUCAUGUUCACACCUUCAGAACACGUUGCUUCUUACAGAACUGAAGGCGACCUGCCACAGUGUCUCAUACCUACAGUCCCAGCAUUUUGGAGGUGAAGGAAG
Long non-coding RNA from Meriones unguiculatus (Mongolian gerbil), 1019 nucleotides. RefSeq lists it as uncharacterized. Lineage: Eukaryota; Metazoa; Chordata; Mammalia; Rodentia; Muridae. The record is from RefSeq and is a predicted model, not a curated record. The transcript is spliced from 3 exons.